UCCUGUAAUGUCAAAAUGCCCUAAAAACACCAGAUUCUGUCUGUUCUUGGAAGUUAAGCAGGGUCAGCCCUGGAUAGUACUUGAAUGGGAGACUAGCAAUGAAUACUAGACACUGUGGGCU
Molecule: ribosomal RNA, 121 nt
Filed under: Anolis carolinensis (green anole)
Lineage: Eukaryota; Metazoa; Chordata; Lepidosauria; Squamata; Anolidae
Source: RNAcentral